AUUGAACGCUGGCGGCAUGCCUUACACAUGCAAGUCGAACGGUAACAGGUCUUCGGAUGCUGACGAGUGGCGAACGGGUGAGUAAUACAUCGGAACGUGCCUAGUAGUGGGGGAUAACUACUCGAAAGAGUGGCUAAUACCGCAUGAGAUCUACGGAUGAAAGCAGGGGAUCGCAAGACCUUGUGCUACUAGAGCGGCCGAUGGCAGAUUAGGUAGUUGGUGGGAUAAAAGCUUACCAAGCCGACGAUCUGUAGCUGGUCUGAGAGGACGAUCAGCCGCAGUGGGACUGAGACACGGCCCAGACUCCUACGGGAGGCAGCAGUGGGGAAUUUUGGCCAAUGGGCGAAAGCCUGAUCCAGCAAUGCCGCGUGCAGGAUGAAGGCCUUCGGGUUGUAAACUGCUUUUGUACGGAACGAAAAGCCCCGGGUUAAUACCCUGGGGUCAUGACGGUACCGUAAGAAUAAGCACCGGCUAACUACGUGCCAGCAGCCGCCGUAA
This 498-nucleotide ribosomal RNA is filed under the name uncultured bacterium. RNAcentral describes it as "partial 16S ribosomal RNA". It matches the Rfam family "Bacterial small subunit ribosomal RNA", at positions 30 to 523 of the family's 1533-position model. The record is from RNAcentral.